CACUGUUCUUUUAACGGGCGAGUGGUUGUAGUGAUGGGUACUCGAGCCAUAUUUUUGAUCGAAUUGGUACGUACGGAAUAUCAAUUAAGAGUGUUGUAUUGGAGUUUGUUUUGUAAACGAGCGUGAUUGUUUAUACGACUUUUUACCCACCCGUCUUUUUAAAACACGGUUCGACGCUAUUGCGUAGAUGUGGCUCUAAACACUUGGUUGAGGGUGGACUAGGUCA
Cinara cedri is the source of this 226-nucleotide non-coding RNA. NCBI's taxonomy places the organism in Eukaryota, Metazoa, Arthropoda, Insecta, Hemiptera, Aphididae. The record is from the annotation of a GenBank genome assembly.